UUCCUGGAGUUGGGCGGUUUCUGUAGGCACUUUUAUUUCUCCACUUUCAAAAGCUUGGGCUUGGCCCAACUGUGAGGCUGCCCAAUCCUGUUUCUAUUACCAAUUUAAAUGUAUGGCUUGAACCUCUACACUGAAAAACCAAAUCCAU
This is an unclassified non-coding RNA of Panthera pardus (leopard), 148 nucleotides long. The record is from Ensembl. Lineage: Eukaryota; Metazoa; Chordata; Mammalia; Carnivora; Felidae.